RNAcentral lists this ribosomal RNA (499 nucleotides) under Oreina frigida. RNAcentral's name for it is "partial 12S small subunit ribosomal RNA". The record is from RNAcentral. Lineage: Eukaryota; Metazoa; Arthropoda; Insecta; Coleoptera; Chrysomelidae.
AAAUAAUAUAAUUUAAUUUAAUUAGUAUAAAUUAAUUUAUAAUAAUUAAUUUUAAUUUAAAAUUUAUUAGGUGAAAUUUAUAAAUUUUAAAAAAAUUUUUUUUAAUGAAGUUAAGAAAUUUAAUUAAUAAACUAGGAUUAGAUACCCUAUUAUUUUAAAUGUAUUUUUAUAUACUAAAUUAGUAUUAGUUAUGUUCUUGAAAAUUAAAGAUUUUGGCGGUAUUUUAGUCUAUUCAGAGGAACCUGUUCUAUAAUUGAUAAUCCACGAUUUAAUUUACUUUUUUUUUUAGUUUGUAUAUCGUCGUAAUUUGAAUAUUUUAUAAGAAUAAUAAUGUUCAAGAUUUUUUACAAUAAAAAUAAAUCAGAUCAAGGUGCAGUUUAUAAAAAAGAAGAAAUGGGUUACAAUAAAAUUAUUUAAGGAUUAUUAUUUAUAAAAUAAUAUAAAUUUGGAUUUGAGAGUAAAUUUAAUUAAUUAAUUAAAUUGAUUUUAGCUCUAAAAU